RNAcentral lists this ribosomal RNA (385 nucleotides) under uncultured bacterium. RNAcentral describes it as "bacterial SSU rRNA". It matches the Rfam family "Bacterial small subunit ribosomal RNA", at positions 30 to 416 of the family's 1533-position model. The record is from RNAcentral.
AUUGAACGCUGGCGGCAUGCCUUACACAUGCAAGUCGAACGGCAGCACGGGAGCAAUCCUGGUGGCGAGUGGCGAACGGGUGAGUAAUAUAUCGGAACGUGCCCAGUCGUGGGGAUAACGUAGCGAAAGCUACGCUAAUACCGCAUACGAUCUAUGGAUGAAAGCGGGGGAUCGCAAGACCUCGCGCGAUUGGAGCGGCCGAUAUCAGAUUAGGUAGUUGGUGAGGUAAAGGCUCACCAAGCCGACGAUCUGUAGCUGGUCUGAGAGACGACCAGCCACACUGGGACUGAGACACGGCCCAGACUCCUACGGGAGGCAGCAGUGGGGAAUUUUUGGACAAUGGGCGCAAGCCUGAUCCAGCAAUGCCGCGUGCAGGAUGAAGGCC